GGGGAGGUAGCUCAGCCCGGGAGAGCACACGGCUGAAGACCGUGUGGCCGCGGAUUCAAAUUCCGCCCGCCCCA
Molecule: transfer RNA, 74 nt
Filed under: Microcaldota archaeon
Lineage: Archaea; Nanobdellati; Microcaldota
Description: tRNA-Phe
Rfam family: tRNA
About the family: Transfer RNA (tRNA) molecules are approximately 80 nucleotides in length. Their secondary structure includes four short double-helical elements and three loops (D, anti-codon, and T loops).
Source: RNAcentral